Molecule: unclassified non-coding RNA, 680 nt
Filed under: Bombus terrestris (buff-tailed bumblebee)
Lineage: Eukaryota; Metazoa; Arthropoda; Insecta; Hymenoptera; Apidae
Description: misc RNA ENSBTSG00005029553.1
Source: RNAcentral
UUUACAUUCGCGCAAGCUGCACACAUAUUCGUUCUCUGUCUUCCCGGGCAAAGAUUAUUGAAUCACAGCGAAGAGGUGUACAACGCGGCGUAAGAAUAUCUCCUUUACUUUUCUGAAACGUUUGCACUCUUAUAUUUUAAGAGUUAAUGGACGAUUAAUUCAUCUAGAUGCGAGGCUAUGUGGUAUAUAUUUCCUAAAAAGUGUCAUAAUUUAUAUAAAUUUUUACUCGCAAGGACUUUAGUAUUUAGCAAAAUCACAGCUUUCAAAGUAGCGACCAUGUCAAUGAAAACUUUUCUCGCGAUUAUUCAAACAGCAAUGAGUUAUUUUACCGUGUUGCUUUCAACUACAUGAAUUUUUAAUGGAAUUAAAAAGCAAUACAUUUUAGUCGCAUAUUUAAUAAAGAUCGUAGGGGUUUGAUAGAUAAAGAGAUUGCUUUCAUUUUAUUUCUGCGAUAAAUAUAAGGAUACGUUUUAAAAAACUCAGGGUAACAACUGACAUGUUUAGCAACACCAGUAUUAGAAAUAGAAAGUAAAACGCAAAACAAUUAAGUAUUAAAGUAAAGACAAUACACGAUGCACGCACAUUGAAACUCGCACUUUAUCUUGACUUUGAUCUUCUUCUUGGUUUUUCCUUUUUCCUCGUUGCGUUACGGUGAUUGAAUUUUUGAAUGCAAAGAUUCG